This 490-nucleotide ribosomal RNA is filed under the name uncultured bacterium. RNAcentral describes it as "partial 16S ribosomal RNA". It matches the Rfam family "Bacterial small subunit ribosomal RNA", at positions 30 to 507 of the family's 1533-position model. The record is from RNAcentral.
AUUGAACGCUGGCGGCAGGCCUAACACAUGCAAGUCGAACGGUAACAGGAAGACGCUUGCUUCUUUGCUGACGAGUGGCGGACGGGUGAGUAAUGUCUGGGAAACUGCCUGAUGGAGGGGGAUAACUACUGGAAACGGUAGCUAGUACCGCAUAACGUCGCAAGACCAAAAAGGGGGACCUUCGGGCCUCUUGCCAUCGGAUGUGCCCAGAUGGGAUUAGCUAGUAGGUGGGGUAACGGCUCACCUAGGCGACGAUCCCUAGCUGGUCUGAGAGGAUGACCAGCCACACUGGAACUGAGACACGGUCCAGACUCCUACGGGAGGCAGCAGUGGGGAAUAUUGCACAAUGGGCGCAAGCCUGAUGCAGCCAUGCCGCGUGUAUGAAGAAGGCCUUCGGGUUGUAAAGUACUUUCAGCGGGGAGGAAGGGAGUAAAGUUAAUACCUUUGCUCAUUGACGUUACCCGCAGAAGAAGCACCGGCUAACUCCGUG